Molecule: long non-coding RNA, 582 nt
Organism: Coregonus clupeaformis (lake whitefish)
Lineage: Eukaryota; Metazoa; Chordata; Actinopteri; Salmoniformes; Salmonidae
Exons: 3
Source: RefSeq, a predicted model, not a curated record
UAUAUAGUGUAUGUUUCAAUAUGAUAUGUCACUUUUUGUGUGGAAAUUAGAGAUAAAAUCAAUGAUAUGCUGCUGUGCCGCACGCGCACUAUAAAACCACACAAAAAUAAUAAAUGGAACGUUGUCCUUGCUUGACGUAGAAACAGGUGAACAAUUUUGGAACACUGAGCCUGGCUGCACCAGGUGGCGGUAUUACGAUGAAUGGGUUGCUUUUGACAAUAAGGCACCGGACUACAGCCAUAUGGUUUUGAACCUAGAAGAAGACCAAGAGACGGGAGUAGGCAAGAAUGACUCGAACGGGAUUGGCCAGAAAAUCAUGGUAAACUAACGUUACUGAGUGCUGAAGAGAUAGAAUGGUCCUCCAGAGCCUUAUAACCGACUACCUGAGAUCUCUCCAGAGCACAGAGAAGUGAGUCUGCUGGGCUACAGAACUUUAGAGCAGCACAUACAAAAUCUGACAACAGGGUGGCAGGUUAUCUGCAGACAGUUCCCUGAAGAAGGAUGCAACUAUCAAGGUUUUCAAAGGCUACAUUUUGCGAAUGACCAAAUGCAAUAAAAUGUUGUAAACUCAGCAAAAAAAGA